UACGUAGGGGGCAAGCGUUAUCCGGAUUUACUGGGUGUAAAGGGAGCGUAGACGGCUGCGCAAGUCAGAAGUGAAAGCCCGGGGCUCAACCGCGGGACUGCUUUUGAAACUGUGAAGCUGGAGUGCAGGAGAGGUAAGCGGAAUUCCUGGUGUAGCGGUGAAAUGCGUAGAUACCAGGAGGAACACCGGCGGCGAAGGCGGCUUACUGGACUGUAACUGACGUUGAGGCUCGAAGGCGUGGGGAGCAAACAGG
RNAcentral lists this ribosomal RNA (253 nucleotides) under uncultured Eubacteriales bacterium. RNAcentral's name for it is "uncultured Clostridiales bacterium partial 16S ribosomal RNA". It matches the Rfam family "Bacterial small subunit ribosomal RNA", at positions 524 to 776 of the family's 1533-position model. Lineage: Bacteria; Bacillati; Bacillota; Clostridia; Eubacteriales. The record is from RNAcentral.